UGGUAGCAAUACUGGGCUGACCUAGUGGCGAACGGGUGCGUAACACGUGACCAACCUGCCUGAAAGUGGGGGAUAGCUCGGCGAAAGCCGGAUUAAUACCGCAUGUGAUCGCAAGAUUAAAGCAGCAAUGCGCUUUUAGAGGGGGUCGCGGCCUAUCAGCUAGUUGGUGAGGUAAAGGCUUACCAAGGCAGCGACGGGUAGCUGGUCUGAGAGGACGACCAGCCACACUGGAACUGAGACACGGUCCAGACACCUACGGGUGGCAGCAGUCGAGAAUUUUUCUCAAUGGGGGAAACCCUGAAGGAGCGACGCCGCGUGGAGGAUGAAGGCUUUCGGGUUGUAAACUCCUGUCAUCUGGGAACAAAACUCGCAAGAGCUUGGUAGUACCAGAAGAGGAAGAGACGGCUAACUCUGUGCCAGCAGCCGCGGUAAUACAGAGGUCUCAAGCGUUGUUCGGAUUCAUUGGGCGUAAAGGGCGCGUAGGCGGUGGGGUAAGUCUGGUGUGAAAUCUCGGAGCUCAACUUCGAAAUUGCACUGGAUACUGCUCUGCUAGAGGGCUGGAGAGGAGAUCGGAAUUCACGGUGUAGCA
Molecule: ribosomal RNA, 589 nt
Filed under: uncultured Verrucomicrobiota bacterium
Lineage: Bacteria; Pseudomonadati; Verrucomicrobiota
Description: bacterial SSU rRNA
Rfam family: Bacterial small subunit ribosomal RNA
Source: RNAcentral